Molecule: unclassified non-coding RNA, 220 nt
Filed under: Hevea brasiliensis (rubber tree)
Lineage: Eukaryota; Viridiplantae; Streptophyta; Magnoliopsida; Malpighiales; Euphorbiaceae
Source: RNAcentral
GUUAAAUCAGCGAAGUCAAGCGAGAAAGCUGCCAAUAGUUCCAUGCUCAAGAAGUCUGUCAUCUCCGAUGAAUCAAUGGACAAUGCAGGGAGCGUCGACAAUAAUACAAAAGGAAAUGAUAAAAAGCUCAUAGACUUGAUAAAAAACAGUAGACUAAAGAUUAACUUAAAGUCCAAGCAGAAUGCAGCAGGCAGGGAAUAACACCCCGAGAAACGACGAA